This 492-nucleotide ribosomal RNA is filed under the name uncultured bacterium. Its description in RNAcentral is "partial 16S ribosomal RNA". It matches the Rfam family "Bacterial small subunit ribosomal RNA", at positions 30 to 507 of the family's 1533-position model. The record is from RNAcentral.
AUUGAACGCUGGCGGCAGGCCUAACACAUGCAAGUCGAACGGCAGCACGGGUCUUGCCACCUGGUUCAGAGGGGGACAGGGGUGCGUAGUAUAUGGAUAUAUGUCGUGUUGUGGGGGAACGCCCGGAAAAAGGCGGAUUUACCCCACAACCCCUUACGGGCUAAGGGCGGGAGCUCUGGAUCUCACGCCCUCUCGCGAUCGCAGGUGGCGAUGUCGGAUUAGCGAGUUGGUGGGGUAAAGGCCUACCAAGGCGACGAUCGGUAGCUGGUCUGAGAGGACGACCAGCCACACUGGAACUGAGACACGGUCCAGACUCCUACGGGAGGCAGCAGUGGGGAAUUUUGGACAAUGGGCGAAAGCCUGAUCCAGCCAUGCCGCGUGUGUGAAGAAGGCCUUCGGGUUGUAAAGCACUUUUGUUCGGAAAGAAAUGCAGGGAGUUAAUACAGUCGGGUGAUGACGGUACCGAAAGAAUAAGCACCGGCUAACUACGUG